This 192-nucleotide ribosomal RNA is filed under the name Salmonella enterica subsp. enterica serovar Infantis. RNAcentral describes it as "partial 16S ribosomal RNA". It matches the Rfam family "Bacterial small subunit ribosomal RNA", at positions 1 to 186 of the family's 1533-position model. Lineage: Bacteria; Pseudomonadati; Pseudomonadota; Gammaproteobacteria; Enterobacterales; Enterobacteriaceae. The record is from RNAcentral. RNAcentral also lists the same sequence under 19 other names.
AAAUUGAAGAGUUUGAUCAUGGCUCAGAUUGAACGCUGGCGGCAGGCCUAACACAUGCAAGUCGAACGGUAACAGGAAGCAGCUUGCUGCUUUGCUGACGAGUGGCGGACGGGUGAGUAAUGUCUGGGAAACUGCCUGAUGGAGGGGGAUAACUACUGGAAACGGUGGCUAAUACCGCAUAACGUCGCAAGA